CCCUUAGAUGUUCUGGGCUGCACGCGCGCUACACUGAUGCGUUCAACGAGUUUACGACCUUGCCAGACAUGGCUGGGUAAUCUUCUUAAACUGCAUCGUGAUGGGGAUAGAUUAUUGCAAUUAUUGAUCUUCAACGAGGAAUUCCUAGUAAGCGCGAGUCAUCAGCUUGCAUUGAUUACGUCCCUGCCCUUUGUACACACCGCCCGUCGCACCUACCGAUUGAAUGGUCCGGUGAAAUCUUCGGAUCUGAGAGAUGUCUGAUUAAUUUCGGACGCCUUUUGGAAAAGUUGCUUAAACCUUACCAUUUAGAGGAAGGUGAAGUCGUAACA
Molecule: ribosomal RNA, 329 nt
Filed under: uncultured eukaryote
Lineage: Eukaryota
Description: partial 18S ribosomal RNA
Rfam family: Eukaryotic small subunit ribosomal RNA
Source: RNAcentral